Octopus sinensis (East Asian common octopus) is the source of this 106-nucleotide small nuclear RNA. The record is from RefSeq and is a predicted model, not a curated record. NCBI's taxonomy places the organism in Eukaryota, Metazoa, Mollusca, Cephalopoda, Octopoda, Octopodidae.
GUAUGUCUUCAGAAAUACAUAUGCUAAAAUUGGAACAAUACAGAGAAGAAUACCAUGGCCCCUGCACAACUGUAACAUGCAAAUUUGUGAAGUGUUCCAUAUUUCA